Molecule: ribosomal RNA, 715 nt
Filed under: Bacillus sp. QS6
Lineage: Bacteria; Bacillati; Bacillota; Bacilli; Caryophanales; Bacillaceae
Description: bacterial SSU rRNA
Rfam family: Bacterial small subunit ribosomal RNA
Source: RNAcentral
UGCAUCUAGAUUAGACUUUGAUCCUGGCUCAGGACGAACGCUGGCGGCGUGCCUAAUACAUGCAAGUCGAGCGGACAGAUGGGAGCUUGCUCCCUGAUGUUAGCGGCGGACGGGUGAGUAACACGUGGGUAACCUGCCUGUAAGACUGGGAUAACUCCGGGAAACCGGGGCUAAUACCGGAUGCUUGAUUGAACCGCAUGGUUCAAUUAUAAAAGGUGGCUUUUAGCUACCACUUACAGAUGGACCCGCGGCGCAUUAGCUAGUUGGUGAGGUAACGGCUCACCAAGGCAACGAUGCGUAGCCGACCUGAGAGGGUGAUCGGCCACACUGGGACUGAGACACGGCCCAGACUCCUACGGGAGGCAGCAGUAGGGAAUCUUCCGCAAUGGACGAAAGUCUGACGGAGCAACGCCGCGUGAGUGAUGAAGGUUUUCGGAUCGUAAAACUCUGUUGUUAGGGAAGAACAAGUACCGUUCGAAUAGGGCGGUACCUUGACGGUACCUAACCAGAAAGCCACGGCUAACUACGUGCCAGCAGCCGCGGUAAUACGUAGGUGGCAAGCGUUGUCCGGAAUUAUUGGGCGUAAAGCGCGCGCAGGCGGUUUCUUAAGUCUGAUGUGAAAGCCCCCGGCUCAACCGGGGGGGGGUCAUUGGAAACUGGGGAACUUGAGUGCAGAAGAGGAGAGUGGAAUUCCNCNUGUAGCGGUGAAAUGCGU